Molecule: ribosomal RNA, 65 nt
Filed under: Staphylococcus hyicus
Lineage: Bacteria; Bacillati; Bacillota; Bacilli; Caryophanales; Staphylococcaceae
Also listed under: 1 other name
Description: partial 23S ribosomal RNA
Source: RNAcentral
CGAGGUGGAAGCGUAGCGAUACGUGGAGCUGACGAAUACUAAUCGAUCGAAGACUUAAUCAAUUU